CAGCCGGUGAAAGUCCGGCCCGUGGAGGUGUCAGAACCCGCAGUAGCUGGUUCCCGACGUCGGGAGAGAUCCCAGGCGUCGAAGCGGAACGACAAAGUCCCUGUCAGGGGAUGAGCAAAAGACCGGUCCGUAGCAUGA
Frankia sp. is the source of this 138-nucleotide non-coding RNA. The record is from Rfam. Lineage: Bacteria; Bacillati; Actinomycetota; Actinomycetes; Frankiales; Frankiaceae.